UGGGGAAUAUUGGACAAUGGGCGAAAGCCUGAUCCAGCAAUGCCGCGUGAGUGAAGAAGGUCUUCGGAUUGUAAAGCUCUUUUAGUAGGGAAGAAAAUGACGGUACCUACAGAAAAAGCACCGGCUAACUUCGUGCCAGCAGCCGCGGUAAUACGAAGGGUGCUAGCGUUGUUCGGAAUUACUGGGCGUAAAGAGCGCGUAGGCGGCUCCUUAAGUUGGAAGUGAAAGCCCAUGGCUUAACCAUGGAAUUGCUUUCAAAACUGGGGAGCUAGAGAAUGGUAGAGGGUAGUGGAAUUCCUGGUGUAGAGGUGAAAUUCGUAGAUAUCAGGAGGAACACCAGUGGCGAAGGCGACUGCCUGGGCCAUUUCUGACGCUGUGGCGCGAAAGCGUGGGGAGCAAA
Molecule: ribosomal RNA, 400 nt
Filed under: uncultured bacterium
Lineage: Bacteria
Description: bacterial SSU rRNA
Rfam family: Bacterial small subunit ribosomal RNA
Source: RNAcentral